CCUGGGUACACCUUCGAGGCUGAAAGUGACCCUGAAUCCUUCCCUGUUUGGCCAGAAGGGUUUCCUUUCUGUCACCUUCUGCUUUACUCUUGGGGAACUUCUCUAUAUCCUCAAAUAAAAGGAAUCCAGCGUCGUGUGGACUUAUCAGCUUAAACCACGUGGAUUUAGACGUCCGGCUGCUAAGGCACACUCACAGCCGUGGGAGACGGGAAGAGGUGAGUCGGUGGCCACGUUCAAAUC
Molecule: non-coding RNA, 240 nt
Organism: Kogia breviceps (pygmy sperm whale)
Lineage: Eukaryota; Metazoa; Chordata; Mammalia; Artiodactyla; Physeteridae
Source: RefSeq, a predicted model, not a curated record